GCCUACGGGGGGCAGCAGUGGGGAAUAUUGGACAAUGGGCGCAAGCCUGAUCCAGCCAUGCCGCGUGGAUGAAGAAGGCCCUAGGGUUGUAAAGUCCUUUCGACGGAGACGAUAAUGACGGUAUCCGUAGAAGAAGCCCCGGCUAAUUUCGUGCCAGCAGCCGCGGUAAUACGAAAGGGGCUAGCGUUGUUCGGAAUUACUGGGCGUAAAGCGCACGUAGGCGGUCGUGGAAGAUGGGGGUGAAAUCCCGGGGCUCAACUCCUGAACUGCCUUCAUGACUGCAUGGCUAGAGGAUGCGAGAGGUUGGCGGAAUUCCGAGUGUAGAGGUAAAAUUCGUAGAUAUUCGGAAGAACACCAGUGGCGAAGGCGGCCAACUGGCGCAUUUCUGACGCUGAGGUGCGAAAGCGUGGGGAGCAAACAGGAUUAGAUACCCGAGUAGUCC
RNAcentral lists this ribosomal RNA (442 nucleotides) under uncultured Alphaproteobacteria bacterium. RNAcentral describes it as "bacterial SSU rRNA". It matches the Rfam family "Bacterial small subunit ribosomal RNA", at positions 337 to 796 of the family's 1533-position model. The record is from RNAcentral. Lineage: Bacteria; Pseudomonadati; Pseudomonadota; Alphaproteobacteria.